AAAAAGGGGAGGCAUUUAAUUUCAAAAUCUUAAAAAUCAUUUGUGGAAAGUGGCUCAUGUGCAUUUUUUCCAAUGAAGAUGUUAUCAUAGACAAUGGCUGCAAUGGCAGCACCAAUCAGUGGACCCACCCAAUAGACCCAGUGACUAGUCCAUGUCCAGCUUACAACAGCAGGGCCAAAGGAAACUGCUGGGUUCAUGGAUGCACC
This 206-nucleotide unclassified non-coding RNA is filed under the name Hevea brasiliensis (rubber tree). Lineage: Eukaryota; Viridiplantae; Streptophyta; Magnoliopsida; Malpighiales; Euphorbiaceae. The record is from RNAcentral.